AAGUUCCGACCUGCACGAAUGGCGUAAUGAUGGCCAGGCUGUCUCCACCCGAGACUCAGUGAAAUUGAACUCGCUGUGAAGAUGCAGUGUACCCGCGGCAAGACGGAAAGACCCCGUGAACCUUUACUAUAGCUUGACACUGAACAUUGAGCCUUGAUGUGUAGGAUAGGUGGGAGGCUUUGAAGUGUGGACGCCAGUCUGCAUGGAGCCGACCUUGAAAUACCACCCUUUAAUGUUUGAUGUUCUAACGUGGGCCCCUAAUCGGGGUUGCGGACAGUGUCUGGUGGGUAGUUUGACUGGGGCGGUCUCCUCCUAAAGAGUAACGGAGGAGCACGAAGGUUGGCUAAUCCUGGUCGGACAUCAGGAGGUUAGUGCAAUGGCAUAAGCCAGCUUGACUGCGAGCGUGACGGCGCGAGCAGGUGCGAAAGCAGGUCAUAGUGAUCCGGUGGUUCUGAAUGGAAGGGCCAUCGCUCAACGGAUAAAAGGUACUCCGGGGAUAACAGGCUGAUACCGCCCAAGAGUUCAUAUCGACGGCGGUGUUUGGCACCUCGAUGUCGGCUCAUCACAUCCUGGGGCUGAAGUAGGUCCCAAGGGUAUGGCUGUUCGCCAUUUAAAGUGGUACGCGAGCUGGGUUUAGAACGUCGUGAGACAGUUCGGUCCCUAUCUGCCGUGGGCGCUGGAGAACUGAGGGGGGCUGCUCCUAGUACGAGAGGACCGGAGUGGACGCAUCACUGGUGUUCGGGUUGUCAUGCCAAUGGCACUGCCCGGUAGCUAAAUGCGGAAGAGAUAAGUGCUGAAAGCAUCUAAGCACGAAACUUGCCCCGAGAUGAGUUCUCCCUGAGACUUAGAGUCUCCUGAAGGAACGUUGAAGACGACGACGUUGAUAGGCCGGGUGUGUAAGCGCAGCGAUGCGUUGAGCUAACCGGUACUAAUGAACCGUGAGGCUUAACCUUACAACGCCGAAG
RNAcentral lists this ribosomal RNA (965 nucleotides) under Escherichia coli. RNAcentral's name for it is "partial 23S ribosomal RNA". It matches the Rfam family "Bacterial large subunit ribosomal RNA", at positions 1978 to 2925 of the family's 2925-position model. Lineage: Bacteria; Pseudomonadati; Pseudomonadota; Gammaproteobacteria; Enterobacterales; Enterobacteriaceae. The record is from RNAcentral.